Molecule: ribosomal RNA, 451 nt
Filed under: uncultured bacterium
Lineage: Bacteria
Description: partial 16S ribosomal RNA
Rfam family: Bacterial small subunit ribosomal RNA
Source: RNAcentral
AGCGAACGCUGGCGGCAGGCCUAACACAUGCAAGUCGAGCGGCCGUAGCAAUACGGCAGCGGCAGACGGGAGAGUAACACGUGGGAACGCGCCCUUCGGUUCGGGAUAACUCAGGGAAACUUGGGCUAAUACCGGAUACGCCCUUACGGGGAAAGAUUUAUUGCCGAAGGAACGGCCCGCGUCCGAUUAGCUUGUUGGUGAGGUAACGGCUCACCAAGGCGAUGAUCGGUAGCUGGUCUGAGAGGAUGACCAGCCUCACUGGGACUGAGACACGGCCCAGACUCCUACGGGAGGCAGCAGUGGGGAAUAUUGGACAAUGGGCGCAAGCCUGAUCCAGCCAUGCCGCGUGGGUGAUGAAGGCCCUAGGGUUGUAAAGCCCUUUCAGCGGGGAAGAUAAUGACGGUACCCGCAGAAGAAGCCCCGGCUAACUUCGUGCCAGCAGCCGCCGUAA